Molecule: non-coding RNA, 25 nt
Filed under: Cricetulus griseus (Chinese hamster)
Lineage: Eukaryota; Metazoa; Chordata; Mammalia; Rodentia; Cricetidae
Source: RNAcentral
UUAGACAUGAUCGAGACCCUGAAGA